RNAcentral lists this ribosomal RNA (1378 nucleotides) under Capsicum annuum. RNAcentral describes it as "SSU rRNA". It matches the Rfam family "Eukaryotic small subunit ribosomal RNA", at positions 3 to 1386 of the family's 1831-position model. The record is from RNAcentral. Lineage: Eukaryota; Viridiplantae; Streptophyta; Magnoliopsida; Solanales; Solanaceae.
CCUGGUUGAUCCUGCCAGUAAUCAUAUGCUUCUCUUAAAUAUUAAGCCAUGCAUGUGUAAGUAUGAAGAAAUUCAGACUGUGAAACUACGAAUGGCUCAUUAAAUCAGUUAUAGUUUGUUUGAUGGUAUCUACUACUCGGAUAACCAUAGUAAUUCUAGAGCUAAUACGUCCAACAAACCCCGACCUUUGGAAGGGAUGCAUUUAUUAGAUAAAAGGUCGACGCGGGCUCUGCUCGUUGCUGCGAUGAUUCAUGAUAACUCGACGGAUCGCACGGCCAUCGUGCCGGCGACGCAUCAUUUAAAUUUCUUCCCUAUCAACUUUCGAUGGUAGGAUAGUGGCCUACCAUGGUGGUGACGGGUGACGGAGAAUUAGGGUUCGAUUUCGGAGAGGGAGCCUGAGAAACGGCUACCACAUCCAAGGAAGGCAGCAGGUGCGCAAAUUACCCAAUCCUGACACGGGGAGGUAGUGACAAUAAAUAACAAUACCGGUCAUUAUGAGUCUGGUAAUUGGAAUGUGUACAAUCUAAAUCCCUUAACGAGGAUCAAUUGGAGGGCAAGUCUGGUGCCAACAGUCGCGGUAAUUCCACCUCCAAUAGCGUAUAUUUAAGUUGUUGUAGUUAAAAAGCUCAUAGUUGGACUUUGGGAUGGGCCGGCCGGUCCGCCUAUGGUGUGCACCGGUCGUCUCGUCCCUUCUGUCGGCAAUGCGCUCCUGGCCUUUACUGGCCUGGUCGUGCCUCCGGCGCUGUUACUUUGAAUAAAUUAGAGUGCUCAAAGCAAGCCUACGCUCUGUAUACAUUAGCAUGGGAUAACAUUAUAGGAUUUUGGUCCUAUUACGUUGGCCUUCGGGAUCGGAGUAAUGAUUAACAGGGACAGUCAAGGGCAUUCGUAUUUCAUAGUAAGAGGUGAAAUUCUUGGAUUUAUGAAAGACGAAUAACUGCGAAAGCAUUUGCCAAGGAUGUUUUCAUUAAUCAAGAACGAAAGUUGGGGGCUCGAAGACGAUCAGAUAUCGUCCUAGUCUCAACCAUAAACGAUGCCGACCAGGGAUCGGCGGAUGUUGCUUUUAGGACUCUGCCGGCACCUUAUGAGAAAUCAAAGUUUUUGGGUUUCGGGGGGAGUAUGGUCGCAAGGCUGAAACUUAAAGGAAUUGAUGGAAGGGCACCACCAGGACUGGAGCCUGCGGCUUAAUUUGACUCAACACGGGGAAACUUACCAGGUCCAGACAUAGUAAGGAUUGACAGACUGAGAGCUCUUUCUUGAUUCUAUGGGUGGUGGUGCCUGGCCGUUCUUAGUGGGUGGAGCGAUUUGUCGGGUUAAUUCCGUUAACGAAUGAGACCUCAGCCUGCUAACUAGCUAUACGGAGGUAUCCCUUCGCGGCCAG